RNAcentral lists this ribosomal RNA (25 nucleotides) under Trichoderma harzianum. Its description in RNAcentral is "partial 18S ribosomal RNA". The record is from RNAcentral. Lineage: Eukaryota; Fungi; Ascomycota; Sordariomycetes; Hypocreales; Hypocreaceae.
UCCGCAAUCGUCCGCGGAGGACAUU